Molecule: transfer RNA, 87 nt
Filed under: Haloarcula vallismortis
Lineage: Archaea; Methanobacteriati; Methanobacteriota; Halobacteria; Halobacteriales; Haloarculaceae
Also listed under: 1 other name
Description: tRNA_Leu_TAG
Rfam family: tRNA
About the family: Transfer RNA (tRNA) molecules are approximately 80 nucleotides in length. Their secondary structure includes four short double-helical elements and three loops (D, anti-codon, and T loops).
Source: RNAcentral
GGAGGAUUGACCGAGCUCGGCCAAAGGUGCUCGGCUUAGGACCGAGUCCAUAGAGACCUGUCGCAGGUUCAAAUCCUGCAUCCUCCA